UACGAAGGGUGCAAACGUUGCUCGGAAUCAUUGGGCGUAAAGCGCACGUAGGCGGCUCCAAAAGUCGGAUGUGAAAUCCCUGGGCUCAACCGAGGAAGUGCAUCCGAAACUGCGGAGCUUGAGUAUGGAAGAGGGUCGCGGAAUUCCCGGUGUAGAGGUGAAAUUCGUAGAUAUCGGGAGGAACACCAGUGGCGAAGGCGGCGACCUGGGCCAAUACUGACGCUGAGGUGCGAAAGCGUGGGGAGCAAACAGGAUUAGAAACCCCAGUAGUCC
RNAcentral lists this ribosomal RNA (273 nucleotides) under uncultured bacterium. Its description in RNAcentral is "partial 16S ribosomal RNA". It matches the Rfam family "Bacterial small subunit ribosomal RNA", at positions 524 to 796 of the family's 1533-position model. The record is from RNAcentral.